UACGGGGGGGGCAAGCGUUGUUCGGAAUUACUGGGCGUAAAGGGCUCGUAGGUGGCCAACUAAGUCAGACGUGAAAUCCCUCGGCUUAACCGGGGAACUGCGUCUGAUACUGGAUGGCUUGAGUGUGGGAGAGGGAUGCGGAAUUCCAGGUGUAGCGGUGAAAUGCGUAGAUAUCUGGAGGAACACCGGUGGCGAAGGCGGCAUCCUGGACCAUUACUGACGCUGAGGCGCGAAAGCUAGGGGAGCAAACGGG
RNAcentral lists this ribosomal RNA (253 nucleotides) under uncultured bacterium. RNAcentral's name for it is "partial 16S ribosomal RNA". It matches the Rfam family "Bacterial small subunit ribosomal RNA", at positions 524 to 776 of the family's 1533-position model. The record is from RNAcentral.